Molecule: ribosomal RNA, 301 nt
Filed under: uncultured bacterium
Lineage: Bacteria
Description: partial 16S ribosomal RNA
Rfam family: Bacterial small subunit ribosomal RNA
Source: RNAcentral
CAGCAGCCACGGUAAUACGAAGGGUGCAAGCGUUACUCGGAAUUACUGGGCGUAAAGCGUGCGUAGGUGGUGGUUUAAGUCCGUUGUGAAAGCCCUGGGCUCAACCUGGGAAUUGCAGUGGAUACUGGGUCACUAGAGUGUGGUAGAGGAUAGUGGAAUUUCCGGUGUAGCAGUGAAAUGCGUAGAGAUCGGAAGGAACAUCUGUGGCGAAGGCAACUAUCUGGGCCAACACUGACACUGAGGCACGAAAGCGUGGGGAGCAAACAGGAUUAGAGACCCGUGUAGUCCCUGUCUCUUAUAC